CUCGUGGGAACCAACAGAGCGCUAAGGCAUUCAAAUUCUAACAAUUAAAUUGUUAUUGGUGAUUUCAAUAGUUUUCGUUUUUUUUGGGACACCCUGUAUGUUAUGUGAAUGUAAACUGUCAGAAGAAUACGACAACAUGAUUUUACGCGAUCUCUGUGGGCAAUGGUUCCACUUUAGAUGUGUAGAAUAUGACACUAGUCUAAGUACCCCAAAUGAGUGGUUAUGUAGACUGUGCACACUACCAGCUGCUAAGAAGCUUAAAAUGUGUAUGUAAUUUUGUCUCCUUGUAAUAAAUAAAUAAAUAAAUCACACAAUAAAUCUUUUCAAC
This is a non-coding RNA of Paramuricea clavata, 328 nucleotides long. NCBI's taxonomy places the organism in Eukaryota, Metazoa, Cnidaria, Anthozoa, Malacalcyonacea, Plexauridae. The record is from the annotation of a GenBank genome assembly.